This is a long non-coding RNA of Mus musculus (house mouse), 367 nucleotides long. RefSeq annotates it as predicted gene, 40751. Lineage: Eukaryota; Metazoa; Chordata; Mammalia; Rodentia; Muridae. The transcript is spliced from 3 exons. The record is from RefSeq and is a predicted model, not a curated record.
UUACCAUGCAUUGAGGCGGUGUCUCGUUGCUCCUUCCACACAUACAGCAUCUAGUUGAUUCAGGAAUGGGGUGAGUCCAGCAUGCUUGAACAAUAACAUCUCUCUUGCUUUUGCAUCAAUCCCCGACUCCACGUUGUUCACUUAGAGGAUCUCAGCAUUUCCUGCCUGCUCCUUUGUCUCUUUAAAACUGAAGAUAUCUGCUUCUCAAGCUGAUAGCAGUUCCUUAUGUUUAAUGUACAUGAGAAUUGCAGGAAAGAAGCUUCCAAGAGGGCUCCUUCAUUUGAGGAACGGUUUUAUUGUGAAUAGGAGAGAAAAAAAUAUCCGGAGGUAUCUGCAAGAAUCCAUAGCAGAGAGCAAAAGAUUACAU